AUGACGUCGCCUCUGACGGAGAUCCCGGACUACCUCCUGGCCGAGAUGUUCCUCCGCCUGCCCGACUCGGAAGACCUCGUCCGUGCGUCCACCGCCUGCGUCUCCUUCUACCGACUCGCCGGCGACGACUCCUUCCUCCGCAGAUUCCGUCGCCUCCACGUACCAUCAGUACUCGGAUUCCUCCAGGCAGGCGGCAUGUUCCGUCCCACCAUGCCGCCUCACCCCUUCGCGCCCGCCGCCCGCGCGGUCGCCCGCGCCGCCGACUUCUACUUCUCCUUCAUCCCCUCCCGUUGCCACUGGACCGUGCAGGACAUCCGUGACGGCCGCGUCCUCCUCGCCCGUGACCUCCGGCAAGAAGAGCGGGCCCUUGCACCGGUCUUCCGAGAUCUCACGGUGUGCGACCCCUUGCACCGGCGGUACGUCCUGCUUCCCCCGGUGACUGACGACCUAGCCGCUUCGCUUGAGCACCCGUUCCCCAUGGUACGCCCCGCCCGGUGCAAGCCCUUCCUCGUUCCCCUCAGCGAGGAGGAGGCAACAGCGGGAGAGACGGCAUUCAUGGUGAUCUUGGUGGCACAUUGCAUAACUAGUCUGGCUGCGUUCGUCUUCUCUUCCAACACGGGACAAUGGCAAGCUGCUGCAUCCAAGCGUUGGAGUGAUUUAGGCCUUGGCGAGCGCGACAUGGCCGAGAUGUCACAGGUCCACCCUUUUAUUCUCAGCCGCCAUUAUGCUUAUGGCUGCUUCUACUGGGACUGGGUGGAGUUCGGGAGGAAAAAGUUGCUCUUGCUUGACACCAGGAAGAUGGAGUUCUCCACUGCCGACCUCCCACCAGGAGAAUGGACCUAUGAAGGUAUAGCCAUUGUGGAGGCAGGGGAAGGCAGGCUUGGGAUCUUUGGUUUCCACUGUGAAACUCCAUCUGAUCUCAUUUAUACCGUUGCACGGAACAAAGGCGAGAGUCCCAGUCACUGGCAGAUGGAGAAGACAAUCUCACUAGAUUCUAGAUACAGAUAUUUUGUCAAAGAUAUAACACAGAGGUACUUGUUCUUAACGAGGAGAGAAGCCUCAUGUCUAUUUAAUGAAGUUGUUGGAUAUUUCUCAAUGGAUGUCAAGACAUUGCAGCUUCAGAGGGUUUAUCAGGAACAACACUAUUUUAUGAACGAGGCAUAUUCAUAUAUCAACUUCCCACCAUCAUUGUUGUCUUCAAGGAGAAUAUGA
RNAcentral lists this ribosomal RNA (1212 nucleotides) under Triticum aestivum (bread wheat). Its description in RNAcentral is "partial small subunit ribosomal RNA". Lineage: Eukaryota; Viridiplantae; Streptophyta; Magnoliopsida; Poales; Poaceae. The record is from RNAcentral.